AUACUACGUUUUGCACCAAAAAAUGUAGUUUUCCCCUUCAUGGGAAUGUUGUGCAGGUUGUAUCUAGCAGCAAUGCACCACAAUGAAAAUGCUAUGCGGUAGCAAGCCACAACAUCUACAGGACAGGCCGUUUUCAAGGUUGUUUUUCCAAAGGCGAAGAGGGGGGAAGGCAUUGUGAAGCCCGUGAAAACAAAUCCAACCUUCAACUAUGUACGUGAACUCAUGAGGCUGCUCAUGCAGGAAGUUUUUGAGGACCCUACAUCUCUUGCAGAGGAAUUGAAGACCAUCC
Long non-coding RNA from Alosa sapidissima (American shad), 289 nucleotides. RefSeq lists it as uncharacterized. The transcript has 3 exons. Lineage: Eukaryota; Metazoa; Chordata; Actinopteri; Clupeiformes; Clupeidae. The record is from RefSeq and is a predicted model, not a curated record.